This 254-nucleotide ribosomal RNA is filed under the name uncultured bacterium. RNAcentral's name for it is "partial 16S ribosomal RNA". It matches the Rfam family "Bacterial small subunit ribosomal RNA", at positions 524 to 776 of the family's 1533-position model. The record is from RNAcentral.
UACGGGGGGAGCAAGCGUUGUUCGGAUUUACUGGGCGUAAAGGGCGCGUAGGCGGCCUCUGCAAGUCGACUGUGAAAUCUCCGGGCUUAACCCGGAACGGUCAGCCGAUACUGCAGGGCUAGAGUGCAGAAGGGGCAACCGGAAUUCUCGGUGUAGCGGUGAAAUGCGUAGAUAUCGGGAGGAACACCAGUGGCGAAGGCGACUUCCUGGCCUGUUCUUGACGCUGAGGCGCGAAAGCUAGGGGAGCAAACGGG